This 126-nucleotide ribosomal RNA is filed under the name Oidiodendron tenuissimum. RNAcentral describes it as "partial large subunit ribosomal RNA". It matches the Rfam family "Eukaryotic large subunit ribosomal RNA", at positions 100 to 225 of the family's 3401-position model. The record is from RNAcentral. Lineage: Eukaryota; Fungi; Ascomycota; Leotiomycetes; Myxotrichaceae.
GGCAACAGCUCAAAUUUGAAAUCUGGCCCCCUCGGGGCCCGAGUUGUAAUUUGGAGAAGAUGCUUCGGGUGUGGCCCCGGUCUAAGUUCCUUGGAACAGGACGUCACAGAGGGUGAGAGCCCCGUA